This 432-nucleotide ribosomal RNA is filed under the name uncultured bacterium. RNAcentral describes it as "partial 16S ribosomal RNA". It matches the Rfam family "Bacterial small subunit ribosomal RNA", at positions 338 to 795 of the family's 1533-position model. The record is from RNAcentral.
CCUACGGGUGGCAGCAGUGGGGAAUCUUGCGCAAUGGGCGAAAGCCUGACGCAGCAACGCCGCGUGGAGGAUGAAGGCCCUUGGGUUGUAAACUCCUGUCGGCUGGGAAGCUGUACCAGCAAAGGAAGCCCCGGCUAACUCUGUGCCAGCAGCCGCGGUAAUACAGAGGGGGCUAGCGUUAUUCGGAAUUAUUGGGCGUAAAGGGCGCGUAGGCGGCCAUGCGUGUCUUCCGUGAAAUCCCUCGGCUUAACUGAGGACGUGCGGAAGAAACUGCAAGGCUCGAGUCCGGGAGAGGGGGGUGGAAUUCCCAGUGUAGCGGUGAAAUGCGUAGAUAUUGGGAGGAACACCGGUGGCGAAGGCGGCCCCCUGGACCGGACUGACGCUGAGGCGCGAAAGCGUGGGUAGCAAACGGGAUUAGAUACCCUUGUAGUC